RNAcentral lists this ribosomal RNA (465 nucleotides) under uncultured bacterium. RNAcentral describes it as "bacterial SSU rRNA". It matches the Rfam family "Bacterial small subunit ribosomal RNA", at positions 335 to 795 of the family's 1533-position model. The record is from RNAcentral.
ACUCCUACGGGAGGCAGCAGUGGGAAUCUUGCGCAAUGGGCGAAAGCCUGACGCAGCAACGCCGCGUGAGGGAAGACGGCCUUAGGGUUGUAAACCUCUUUCAGUUGGGACGAAGGCAGUUCGGUGAAUAGCCGGACUGUUGACGGUACCUUCAGAAGAAGCCCCGGCUAACUACGUGCCAGCAGCCGCGGUAAUACGUAGGGGGCAAGCGUUGUCCGGAAUCAUUGGGCGUAAAGCGCGUGUAGGCGGCUCAGUCAGUCUGAUGUGAAAUCUUGGGGCUCAACCCCGAACGUGCAUUGGAUACUGCUGAGCUUGAGUCCGGAAGAGGAGAGUGGAAUUCCUGGUGUAGCGGUGGAAUGCGCAGAUAUCAGGAGGAACACCAGUGGCGAAGGCGGCUCUCUGGUACGUGACUGACGCUGAGACGCGAAAGCGUGGGAGCGAACAGGAUUAGAUACCCUGGUAGGC